This 454-nucleotide ribosomal RNA is filed under the name uncultured bacterium. RNAcentral describes it as "bacterial SSU rRNA". It matches the Rfam family "Bacterial small subunit ribosomal RNA", at positions 340 to 786 of the family's 1533-position model. The record is from RNAcentral.
UACGGAAGGCAGCAGUGGGGAAUAUUGCACAAUGGGCGCAAGCCUGAUGCAGCCAUGCCGCGUGUAUGAAGAAGGCCUUCGGGUUGUAAAGUACUUUCAGUCGUGAGGAAGGUGUUAAGGUUAAUAACCUUAGCAAUUGACGUUAGCGACAGAAGAAGCACCGGCUAACUCCGUGCCAGCAGCCGCGGUAAUACGGAGGGUGCGAGCGUUAAUCGGAAUUACUGGGCGUAAAGGGCACGCAGGCGGUUAAUUAAGUUGGAUGUGAAAUCCCCGGGCUUAACCUGGGAAUGGCAUUCAAGACUGGUUAGCUAGAGUCUUGUAGAGGGGGUAGAAUUCCAUGUGUAGCGGUGAAAUGCGUAGAGAUGUGGAGGAAUACCGGUGGCGAAGGCGGCCCCUGGGACAAAGGCUGACGCUCAUGUGCGAAAGCGUGGGGAGCGAAACAGGAUUAGAUACC